Molecule: long non-coding RNA, 185 nt
Organism: Solanum tuberosum (potato)
Lineage: Eukaryota; Viridiplantae; Streptophyta; Magnoliopsida; Solanales; Solanaceae
Exons: 2
Source: RefSeq, a predicted model, not a curated record
AGGUCAAACCUCCACAGGAUCCAUUACCACCACCAACACGACUAGCUCUUACCACAUUUGACACUUUUGAGUAACAACCCAAAGAAUUUGAAUUUGAUGUGCUCGCCAUUGUCAUUAAUGGCAGUCCUUCAACAAAGACUACAACUGGAAAACGAAUUCAAGAGUUUAUUGUCAUGGACAAGCUG